GUCUAUGGCCAUACCACCCUGAAUACUCCAAAUCCUGUCUGUUCUGGGAAGCUAAGCAGCACUGAUCCUGGUUAGUACUUGGAUGGGAGACAUUCAGGAAGGUACAGAUG
RNAcentral lists this ribosomal RNA (110 nucleotides) under Jaculus jaculus (lesser Egyptian jerboa). Lineage: Eukaryota; Metazoa; Chordata; Mammalia; Rodentia; Dipodidae. The record is from RNAcentral.